CUUGAGAGCCCUGCAGUAGGGGAGUUCUCAAGGCCUUCUCUCUGCAGAAAGGCUUGACAACUCUCUCUCCCCUCUCCUUCAGGCCUCACUCUGGCAGAAGACUGCUCAGGCCCAGGCAGGAUCUCUGUCCUUUGUCUUGCUUAACUGGCUUUGUUGUUCCAAGACUCCACGAAGUUGCUCCCCAGGGUCCCUCUCAGAGAGAAAACUCUUCCUGUUGACUCAUCCAAGGGAGCAGGGCAACUCAGAGCCCACUACUCAGAAUGGCCUGAAAUUUGGAGCCUGGAUCUUCUGUGGCCACUCCAUGAAAUCCCAUGAGGCUGGCAGCCUUGGGGGAGUAAUGUGACUUCAUGACCGUAAAUAAUCCCUUGCUGUUGCAGGCAGACUGUUUAGCUACCUCCAAAGGAGACAGACCCUCUGGCGCUUCUGCACCACAGGCACCGUCAUAACAGCAGUCUAGCUGGGGCUUCUUCCCAUGGCAGCUUGGCAGGAUUCCAAGAGGAAGGGGGAUGGAUGCAAGAGCUCCAUACCUAGGCUGGGAGCUGGAACUGCGUCACCUCUGCCAUAAUCCAUCAGCCAAAGCAAGUCACAUGGGACAAGUCAUCUGUCCUGACUCAGGGGAUGGUGAAAGGGUCUCCACUUGUGGAUGGGAGGAGCUGCAAUGUCAUAUUGCAAAGGGGCAUGCCUACGGGGAAGGGUGGAGAACUGUGUCCACUUUUGCAACAAAUGCAGUUGUUAGAUGUAAGAGGUAGGAUUUUAUCUUUCAAUUAUGAAAGUAGCAUAUGCACAUGAGAAAAAUUCAAACAGUACACAAACGGGAAAAUGAGGAAGAGAAAGUCUCCCAGGGAAAACAUGUUCUAAUCUAGUUCCACUCUCUACAUGUAAAUACCAUCAAGAGUUUCUUGUGUACCUUGAUACAAUUUUGUUGUGCAUACACAUAGAUGGGAGUCUAAUAUACACACUAUUCUGUAGUUUAUUCUUUUCACUUAACAGUACAGCUAAGAGUUCUUUCCAUAGCAGCACAACCAGAAAUGCUCCGUUACUUUUAAUGUCUACAAAGUAGUCAACUGAAUAAAUGUACCAUGUUUUAUUCAACCACAUUUCCCUCCUGGUGGACACUUAGGUCAUUUCCUUUUUCUGUUGUUAUAAAUAAUGCUGCAAUGAACAUCCUUGAAUAUCUUUCUUUGUAUACUUGUAGACUAGAUUCCUAGAAGUGAAAUUUCUAGGUUCAACGUCAGAUCUAAGCCUUGCUCUGUUCCCAGGACGUGCUCUUUCCAAGAUGGGUCUCUGGUUGCCAUCUCUUCUUCUGGCCUUUUCUACUACUAGAAGUUACCUUAGGAACCAUGGACCCCCAUGCAUAGUGCACAUAUGUGACACAUUCUCAUGACCUCUCUACACCCUUUCCUUCCUGGACAGGCUCAAGAGGUCUUGAGCUAUUCAUUAUUAAGCUCUUCCAAGAAGAUCCAGACUAAUUGUCUUUUCUGUGUCUUGCUUUAUGAAUUUCUUUGGGGACGUGUACUAUUUCACUACAGGUCAAUGAGGAAAGACUCAUAGUAAGAAAUGUUAACAUACAGAUGAUGGGUUGCUUCAAGUGGAGGCCUAAUGUACAAAUGAGUGAAGAUAUCACAAAUAGUGCAAAAAUAGACAAGUGGUAGAAGAAUUAGGUUGAAUCAUCACACAGAAAACAAUAGUAUAGGCCUGUUGUCACAAUGAAUUCCAUCCUUGUUCAUAGCAACUUUAACUGUUCAUGAAUAUCAAAUACAGUAGCACAUAUGCAGUGAAGAAAUUUCUCAGGAGCAUAUUUUUCCAUUCUUUAAUAUUGUUUUUGGGUUUCUUCAUGGAUCUUGAUGCCCACAUGCCACCUUCCUGGGUGCUGGCUGGAGCUCUGAGUUUUUACCAGGUAUGUAUGGACUUAGCUGUAUUAUGAACAGCAGGUUGGUGACUGUAGAGUCUGGAGGUGGCAUGCCAGCACACUCAGAUACCUCUAUUUCUCACAGCCCCUGAUUAUGGCCCUGUGUAGAUGGAGCCAAUAAUUCUGCGGAAGGGAACAAACAGCAGGGGCUCGUUUCUGUGAUGUGGGGAGUCUGCAUUUUACGGCUGCUCUGCAGACAGGUUAAAGAAGUGGACUUCCAGAGAAUGCAGUUUCAAAAACUCAAGGAAGAACGAUGUUUAUUCCCAUGGUACGCUGAACAGUGAAGAACUUAAAGGAUAAUCAUUGCCCAGUCACAUUAAUUUGUUCAUUUCUUCAUUCACUUCUUCCACAUUUAUUCACUGAGUAUCACAUUGUACCAAACCCCAUGCUGGGUGUUGGAGAUAUAAAGAUAAAUAAAACCCCAAAACAACCUCUCCUUGUAUCAGUUAGCUCUGGCUACAUAACAAACAUCCCCAAACAUCAUGGCUUAAAACAAAAACUAUGUAUUUAGUUUACAAUACUCUAGGUCAACAAUUUGGGCUGGGUUCUGCGGGCUAGUUCUACUGUCCUUGGCUGAGCUUACUCAGGGUUGAUGGCCAGCUGCUGGAUUGGUUCGGGCUGGCUGGUCUAGGGGGUUCUCAGCUGGGAUGGCUCAUCUCUGCUCCACACACUCUCAUCCUCCAGCGGGCUAGCCUGGACUUGUUCAUGUGGCGGCUAGGCAAUUCCAUGGGCACGAGCAGAAGCCUGCCAGGCCUCUUGAAGGUGAGGCUCUGGGUUGACAUAAUGUCCCUUUAGCCAUUACAUUGGUCAAAUCAAGUCACAAGCCCAGGCCAGUUCCAAGGAGGGGUGAAGACCUCUGACUGUCAUUGCUAAGGGACUUGGAAACAGGCAGGAAAUAAGGGCUAAUUUUUGCUAAUAGUCUAGCUCACUGCCGUUUAGGAGCUUACAGUCUGGUCAGAGAGACAGAAAAUUGUGAUAAGUGCUAUUAAGAAGCUGUC
Long non-coding RNA from Equus caballus (horse), 2907 nucleotides. The record is from Ensembl. Lineage: Eukaryota; Metazoa; Chordata; Mammalia; Perissodactyla; Equidae.